RNAcentral lists this ribosomal RNA (467 nucleotides) under uncultured bacterium. Its description in RNAcentral is "partial 16S ribosomal RNA". It matches the Rfam family "Bacterial small subunit ribosomal RNA", at positions 28 to 506 of the family's 1533-position model. The record is from RNAcentral.
GACGAACGCUGGCGGCGUGCUUAACACAUGCGAGUCGAACGGAAAGGCCCUGCUUUUGUGGGGUGCUCGAGUGGCGAACGGGUGAGUAACACGUGAGUAACCUGCCCUUGACUUUGGGAUAACUUCAGGAAACUGGGGCUAAUACCGGAUAGGAGCUCCUGCUGCAUGGUGGGGGUUGGAAAGUUUCGGCGGUUGGGGAUGGACUCGCGGCUUAUCAGCUUGUUGGUGGGGUAGUGGCUUACCAAGGCUUUGACGGGUAGCCGGCCUGAGAGGGUGACCGGCCACAUUGGGACUGAGAUACGGCCCAGACGCCUACGGGAGGCAGGAGUGGGGAAUAUUGCACAAUGGGCGGAAGCCUGAUGCAGCAACGCCGCGUGCGGGAUGACGGCCUUCGGGUUGUAAACCGCUUUCGCCUGUGACGAAGCGUGGGUGACGGUAAUGGGUAAAGAAGCACCGGCUAACUACGU